AACGAACGCUGGCGGCAGGCUUAAUACAUGCAAGUCGAGCGGGCACUUCGGUGUCAGCGGCGCACGGGUGCGUAACGCGUGGGAACAUGCCUUUAGGUACGGAACAACCAAGGGAAACUUUGGCUAAUACCGUAUAAUAUCUCUGGAUCAAAGAUUUAUCGCCUAAAGAUUGGCCCGCGUUAGAUUAGGUAGUUGGUGGGGUAAUGGCCUACCAAGCCGACGAUCUAUAGGGGGUCUGAGAGGAUGAUCCCCCACACUGGAACUGCGACACGGUCCAGACUCCUACGGGAGGCAGCAGUAAGGAAUAUUGGACAAUGGGCGAAAGCCUGAUCCAGCCAUGCCGCGUGAGUGAUGAAGGCCUUAGGGUUGUAAAGCUCUUUUAGAUGGGAAGAUAAUGACUGUACCAUCAGAAUAAGCCCCGGCUAAAUUCGUG
RNAcentral lists this ribosomal RNA (433 nucleotides) under uncultured bacterium. RNAcentral's name for it is "partial 16S ribosomal RNA". It matches the Rfam family "Bacterial small subunit ribosomal RNA", at positions 29 to 507 of the family's 1533-position model. The record is from RNAcentral.